RNAcentral lists this ribosomal RNA (373 nucleotides) under uncultured bacterium. RNAcentral describes it as "bacterial SSU rRNA". It matches the Rfam family "Bacterial small subunit ribosomal RNA", at positions 524 to 898 of the family's 1533-position model. The record is from RNAcentral.
UACGUAGGGGGCGAGCGUUAUCCGGAAUUAUUGGGCGUAAAGAGUGCGUAGGUGGUCUUGUAAGCGUGGGGUGAAAGGCAGUGGCUUAACCAUUGUUAGCCUUGCGAACUGUGAGACUUGAGUGCAGGAGAGGAAAGUGGAAUUCCUAGUGUAGCGGUGAAAUGCGUAGAUAUUAGGAGGAACAUCAGUGGCGAAGGCGACUUUCUGGACUGUAACUGACACUGAGGCACGAAAGCGUGGGGAGCAAACAGGAUUAGAUACCCUGGUAGUCCACGCCGUAAACGAUGAGUACUAGGUGUCGGGGUUUAAAGACUUCGGUGCCGCAGUUAACGCAUUAAGUACUCCGCCUGGGGAGUACGCACGCAAGUGUGAA